AUAGCGAACAAGUACCGUGAGGGAAAGAUGAAAAGAUCUUUGAAAAGAGAGUUAAACAGUACGUGAAAUUGUUGAAAGGGAAACGAUUGAGGCCAGUCAUGCCUGCGAGAAAUCAAUCAGUUGAUCGAGUUUUCGAAUUUGAUUUGUUGGUGCACUUUUUCGCGUGGCAGGUUAGCAUCAACUUUGAUGGUUGUAAAAUGGUGGUCGGAAGGUGACUCUUUUUGGAGUGUUAUAGCCGGCUGCAGAUGCAACGAUUGGGGUUGAGGUUUGCGGCAAAUGCCUUUGGGCUACUUACCUUCCUUCUGAUCUGUUCACUUUGAAAUGACAGCUUGCUGACAUUUUAGGGGGCGUUCAAUCAAUAGGGUAGAGUAGGAUAUAUUUGCCAAGGAUGCUGACGUAAUGACCUUAAACGACCCGUCUUGAAACACGGACCAAGGAGUCUAACAUACGUGCGAGUGUUUGGGUGGCAAACCCAUGCGCGAAAUGAAGGUGAACGUAGGUGGGAUCUGUCGUUUCACGGCAGUGCAGCAUCGACC
This 536-nucleotide ribosomal RNA is filed under the name uncultured Glomeromycotina. Its description in RNAcentral is "eukaryotic LSU rRNA". It matches the Rfam family "Eukaryotic large subunit ribosomal RNA", at positions 337 to 766 of the family's 3401-position model. The record is from RNAcentral. Lineage: Eukaryota; Fungi; Glomeromycota.